Molecule: RNA transcript, 1417 nt
Organism: Elaeis guineensis (African oil palm)
Lineage: Eukaryota; Viridiplantae; Streptophyta; Magnoliopsida; Arecales; Arecaceae
Gene name: kinesin-like protein KIN-7E, chloroplastic
Source: RefSeq, a predicted model, not a curated record
AUUGGGUACCCGAAGGCGAUGGGAGGACGGACGGCAGAGCCGUUGACGAGGCUGAGGGCGAGGGUGUCAAAAACGAGGACUCCCGCAGAGGAGCCGUGGUCCGCGUACUGUACUUCGUAGUCGCACUGAUUCGGGGUCUGGCACUCGUGCUUCUGAUGGGUGGAGGCGUGAACCGCGUAGCAGAGCGCGUUCUCGCAGGGGAUCAGCCUCUUCGGUUUGUACAGUGGGGAGCGUCGCAUUGGAGCCAGGUGAUGUCGCUGCCGGUGUCGACGUGCAUGAAAUAGGGCUUCGGCGGAUUCCCGAUGUUCAUCGUCGCGUAGAAUACCCUGCGAGAUUUGAUCGAAUCAGAGACCAUGAGUCCGAUUCCCAAUCCCUAAUGCAGUAAUUCGAAGGGGGAAAAAAAAAAUCCCAAAUCUCGAGCUUUUUAAUAUACUAUCCAGCUUACUCAUUGGGAUAGACGUCGCCGGAGAGGGGGAAGACGGCGGAGGAUGGCGCCCGGCGGCUGGUAUCGGCAGACGGCGGCGAAGCCGACGCCCUCGGCUUCUUCGGCAGGGUGUUCGUAGCGGCGGCGGAGCAGGACGGGAUCGCGGCGAGGACGGCAGCCACGACUAGAAGAGCGACCAGAAGCGCCGCUCCUUUUCCUCUCAUUCUCACCGGGCGAGGCAGAGAACGAAAGAAGAGCGAGAAGGAGCUGUUCUCUUCUUAUAAGCGGCCGCGGCGGCACUCGAUGGAGUCCCGUUCUUCGCCGGCGGGGACGGAGGCGAGCGACGACCUUUCUUACAGCCCGGUCUCCGGGGGGCAGGGUGAAGACCUAAUUGGCUUAGAUUCCAGAGCCCUCGAAGAACUGCAGAAUCUUCAUGUUGAAGCACUAGCGAAAAUAUGCCAAGAAAAGUUAACAAACCUGGCUCAGUAGUACGUGAAGUUCCAUGGCACUGAUUCUUUUGUUAGUCUCCCCGAGGUUUGUAUCUAUAUUGAAUUUAUUCUUCGAUAUACUCCAUGCAUAUGAAGUAGGGGUGUUAAACAUUAUAUGUGUAUGCAUUUGGACAUUUAGGGGGAAAAAAUGGAUAAUAAAAUCUGUCCAAAAAUUGUGAUUGAUCAUUAAAUUCAUAUUUGGGAAGUCUGUUGAUUUCAUGUGCACCGUGACAUUCAUAUUCUAAUGCUAAAUGAUAUUAUCACCGCUAUGUUUCUGAUGUAUAGACUCUGAAAAAAGAUGUACAAAUAAACUGGGAGUACUAGAAUUGCCUUUUGUUUAAUGAUUUAAAGAAAAAUCAAGCAGGAAAUCCUAGAUUCUCGAAACAAAUUUCUUAGUUGUUUCAUUACAAUUUGUGCCAAAUUAUGUGAAGUGUUGCAAUCAACAUUGUUCUAAUUAUGUGAAUUGUUACAAUUUGUGCCAAAUUAUGUGAAAAUGAACCAUGUU